Molecule: ribosomal RNA, 627 nt
Filed under: uncultured bacterium
Lineage: Bacteria
Description: bacterial SSU rRNA
Rfam family: Bacterial small subunit ribosomal RNA
Source: RNAcentral
UCGGUAAAGGAUGGGGAUGCGUCCGAUUAGCUUGUUGGCGGGGUAACGGCCCACCAAGGCAUCGAUCGGUAGGGGUUCUGAGAGGAAGGUCCCCCACACUGGAACUGAGACACGGUCCAGACUCCUACGGGAGGCAGCAGUGAGGAAUAUUGGUCAAUGGCCGCAAGGCUGAACCAGCCAAGUAGCGUGAGGGAAGACUGCCCUAUGGGUUGUAAACCUCUUUUAUGCGGGGAUAAAGGCGUCCACGUGUGGAUGUUUGCAGGUACCGCAUGAAUAAGGACCGGCUAAUUCCGUGCCAGCAGCCGCGGUAAUACGGAAGGUCCGGGCGUUAUCCGGAUUUAUUGGGUUUAAAGGGAGCGUAGGCCGGUCUUUAAGCGUGCCGUGAAAUUUUGUGGCUCAACCAUGAGAGUGCGGCGCGAACUGGAGACCUUGAGUGCGCGGAAGGCAGGCGGAAUUCGUGGUGUAGCGGUGAAAUGCUUAGAUAUCACGAAGAACCCCGAUUGCGAAGGCAGCCUGCCGCAGCGUUACUGACGCUGAAGCUCGAAAGCGCGGGUAUCGAACAGGAUUAGAUACCCUGGUAGUCCGCGCGGUAAACGAUGGAUGCCCGCUGUCGGCGAUAUACAGUCG